CACUUGGUGAUUGUGAGCCAGCACCAAGAUCGAAGGCAUUUGGAUCCCUGGUGAUCACAGACCCAGCAUGUCAUCUCUGCAAAGCUUCCCAGAAAGUGUGGAAUAUUGGCCUUCCUUUUCAGAUUCAUGUGAAAGCUUGGAGAAAAGAACACAGACUAAAAGGAAUAUAAAUCCAAAAGAAUGAGUGAAAUGGGAAUACACAAGGCAUGAGCAAUAAGACUGUUCUCUCAGAAACAAUGAGAAUAACUGCUCUACAUCUUACAAACCAGAAACUUACACGUUGUAUCUCAUUAAAUUUUAUUUUGAAUAUUGAGAACAUUCAGUGCGUGGAUAAUAUUUAAAAGUCAUAACUCCGGAGGUAGAACCAGUUGAUGAAUAAAAAAAAACUUCUAGUCAAAACAUAAUUUAUCUAUUAUGU
This 418-nucleotide long non-coding RNA is filed under the name Homo sapiens (human). Its description in RNAcentral is "HSALNT0367074". Lineage: Eukaryota; Metazoa; Chordata; Mammalia; Primates; Hominidae. The record is from RNAcentral.